Molecule: ribosomal RNA, 456 nt
Filed under: uncultured Paracoccaceae bacterium
Lineage: Bacteria; Pseudomonadati; Pseudomonadota; Alphaproteobacteria; Rhodobacterales; Paracoccaceae
Description: bacterial SSU rRNA
Rfam family: Bacterial small subunit ribosomal RNA
Source: RNAcentral
AACGAACGCUGGCGGCAGGCCUAACACAUGCAAGUCGAGCGCUCUCUUCGGAGGGAGCGGCGGACGGGUGAGUAACGCGUGGGAAUAUGCCCUUCUCUGCGGAAUAGCCACUGGAAACGGUGAGUAAUACCGCAUACGCCCUUCGGGGGAAAGAUUUAUCGGAGAAGGAUCGGCCCGCGUUAGAUUAGUUAGUUGGUGGGGUAACGGCCUACCAAGACUACGAUCUAUAGCUGGUUUUAGAGGACGAUCAGCAACACUGGGACUGAGACACGGCCCAGACUCCUACGGGAGGCAGCAGUGGGGAAUCUUAGACAAUGGGCGAAAGCCUGAUCUAGCCAUGCCGCGUGAGUGAUGAAGGCCCUAGGGUUGUAAAGCACUUUCAGUCGCGAAGAAACUCUCAAGGUUAAUAACCUUGAGCAUUGACGUUAACGACAGAAGAAGCACCGGCUAACUCCG